ACCAACAGAUUCCUUAUCACUCGUUCUAUUCUCUUACAAAAUUUCCUCGUAACGAAUGGAGCGCGUGUAUGUUAUCAAAAUCUCGUGUUCACGUUAACAAUAAAUUACCGUUAAAUUGUUGAUCUUACGAAUUAAUCGAUGAUUUUUUUUCCACAAAUUAUUUAUUUACCGGAGCCCAGGGAAAUCAUCAACUCCAGGGAAAAUAAAAAAAAUGAGAAGAUGAAUUAAGGGGUUACAUGGGUUUCACGGUUUCAAAAAAUCGAUUUUUUUUUUUUUGUCUAAUUAAAUUCUAUAACAUCUCUAGAAUAUUGUCCUAAAUUUUCAAAUUGAUCCGAGUAAUAGUUUCGGAGAUACAGCCCUGAAAAGACGGACGCUCCAGGUCAGGUAAUUCAAAGUGUCUAGAGCCGUUUAAAGUGUCUAGAGCCGUUUAAAGUGUCUAGAGCCCAGAUAAGCCAGAGUUCGUCAUCGACAGGAGCAAAAGGAUGCCCUGGACAUUGCAGCUGCAGCAGGUUCUCUACUUUAUGGCCCAGGAAUCGACGAUUCAAUAUAAUCCUGAAAGAAGUUCUGCUGACAACGCGGAGGCACCUUUUUUCCGAGGGACUGCCGGAAAUGGCGUCGUAAUGGCCGCCAUCUUGAUAUUUUUUUUUGAAAAUUUCACAAAAUGUUUAUUAAAUAUGUAUCUUUUAAAUCAUAAAAAGUUUCAUCUAAAUAUUUCAUUUUUUACAUGCAAAAAAAAUUAUUGAAAAAAGGCCGUUUUUUGCCCGACGAAA
Molecule: long non-coding RNA, 770 nt
Organism: Diachasmimorpha longicaudata
Lineage: Eukaryota; Metazoa; Arthropoda; Insecta; Hymenoptera; Braconidae
Exons: 2
Source: RefSeq, a predicted model, not a curated record